GCCGGUGUAGCUCAGAGGCCCCCGUGGCACGGGCGGCCUUGGGCAGUAGGUAGAUGGCGCGAGCCGACAGCAGCGGGCUGUUAACCCGUUGGUUCGCAAGUUCGAGUCUUGCCACCGGCG
Molecule: transfer RNA, 120 nt
Filed under: Thermoproteota archaeon
Lineage: Archaea; Thermoproteati; Thermoproteota
Also listed under: 1 other name
Description: tRNA-Asn
Source: RNAcentral